This 253-nucleotide ribosomal RNA is filed under the name uncultured bacterium. RNAcentral's name for it is "partial 16S ribosomal RNA". It matches the Rfam family "Bacterial small subunit ribosomal RNA", at positions 524 to 776 of the family's 1533-position model. The record is from RNAcentral.
UACGGAGGGUGCAAGCGUUAUCCGGAUUCACUGGGUUUAAAGGGUGCGUAGGUGGGCAGGUAAGUCCGUGGUGAAAUCUCUGAGCUUAACUCAGAAACUGCCGUGGAUACUAUUUGUCUUGAAUGUUGUGGAGGUGAGCGGAAUAUGUCAUGUAGCGGUGAAAUGCUUAGAUAUGACAUAGAACACCAAUUGCGAAGGCAGCUCACUACACAAUUAUUGACGCUGAGGCACGAAAGCGUGGGGAUCAAACAGG